UUCAAUUACGUAUAGCGUAUAUUUUGUAAACGAUUAUUGAAAUCGCGACCGACAGAAGGCGCCACAUUUAACAAACCAAACAAGCGUCGACUAAGAAUGGCGAUAGUGGCUUUGUGUUUGUAAUUUUUAAAGACGAAUGCUCGAUGACAACUCUAAGCAGAUUAACAAUAAGUAAAUAUUAAAUAACGUCGAACAUUAAAUGUCAUUCUGAAUAUCAUUAAGUAUAUACGCAGUCGACUGCUAAACAUGU
This is a long non-coding RNA of Centruroides sculpturatus (bark scorpion), 250 nucleotides long. RefSeq lists it as uncharacterized. NCBI's taxonomy places the organism in Eukaryota, Metazoa, Arthropoda, Arachnida, Scorpiones, Buthidae. The transcript is spliced from 3 exons. The record is from RefSeq and is a predicted model, not a curated record.